This 498-nucleotide ribosomal RNA is filed under the name uncultured Glomeromycotina. Its description in RNAcentral is "partial small subunit ribosomal RNA". It matches the Rfam family "Eukaryotic small subunit ribosomal RNA", at positions 591 to 1092 of the family's 1831-position model. Lineage: Eukaryota; Fungi; Glomeromycota. The record is from RNAcentral.
CCAAUAGCGUAUAUUAAAGUUGUUGCAGUUAAAAAGCUCGUAGUUGAAUUUCGGGACUAAUAUGUCGGUCGUACUUUGUACGUACUAGCAUUAUUGGUUUCUCCCUUCUGACGAACCACGAUGUCAUUAAUUUGGUGUCGUGGGAAAUCAGGACUGUUACUUUGAAAAAAUUAGAGUGUUUAAAGCAAGCUCGCGCUUGAAUACAUUAGCAUGGAAUAAUGAAAUAGGACGUUUGAUUCUAUUUUGUUGGUUUCUAGGAUCGACGUAAUGAUUAAUAGGGAGAGUUGGGGGCAUUAGUAUUCAAUUGUCAGAGGUGAAAUUCUUGGAUUUAUUGAAGACUAACUACUGCGAAAGCAUUUGCCAAGGAUGUUUUCAUUAAUCAAGAACGAAAGUUAGGGGAUCGAAGACGAUCAGAUACCGUCGUAGUCUUAACCAUAAACUAUGCCGACUAGGGAUCGGAUGAUGUUAAUUUUUUAAUGACUCAUUCGGCGCCUUACG